UGACGGUACCUGACUAAGAAGCUCCGGCUAAAUACGUGCCAGCAGCCGCGGUAAUACGUAUGGAGCAAGCGUUAUCCGGAUUUACUGGGUGUAAAGGGAGCGUAGACGGCAUGGCAAGUCUGAUGUGAAAACCCUGGGCUCAACCCAGGAACUGCAUUGGAAACUGUUAAGCUAGAGUGCAGGAGAGGUAAGUGGAAUUCCUAGUGUAGCGGUGAAAUGCGUAGAUAUUAGGAGGAACACCAGUGGCGAAGGCGGCUUACUGGACUGUAACUGACGUUGAGGCUCGAAAGCGUGGGGAGCAAACAGGAUUAGAUACCCUG
Molecule: ribosomal RNA, 320 nt
Filed under: uncultured bacterium
Lineage: Bacteria
Description: bacterial SSU rRNA
Rfam family: Bacterial small subunit ribosomal RNA
Source: RNAcentral